This is an RNA transcript of Onychostoma macrolepis, 1649 nucleotides long. It is a transcript of the gene named armadillo like helical domain containing 1, with no coding region annotated. The record is from RefSeq and is a predicted model, not a curated record. The transcript has 13 exons. Lineage: Eukaryota; Metazoa; Chordata; Actinopteri; Cypriniformes; Cyprinidae.
GUUGUUCCCAAACGCACACAGUAGUGUCAGUAACCAUGGCAACUGCAAACAUUGGCGGAAGUGAAUGUGAGAAACAUUCUAAUAAGCUGUUAGCUGGAAAACAAGUAUGAUAUAGAUUAUAAAACUGCUAUUGUUAAGUCUGUGAGAUGCUUGAGUCAUGGCUAGCAGUAAGGAGCAGGCCUCCAUCAGUCAGGUGAUGUGUUUCCUCCAUGAGUGGGAUCAGGGCAGUAAAACGCUGCGCAGUCGAAUGCUAAGUGACUUUCUGACCAAGAACACAGGAAAGACGUGUCCUGAACUGGAGCUUGAGUUCGCACAAGUUGCUAGCCUUUUCCUUGCUCGGCUCACUGCCUGGAUGAGACUAACCUAUAUGUUUGGAACAUGUCUAGACCUUCAGCUGAGAGCACUGGGGGUUUUCCUGUCUGCUAACAGCAGUCAUCAGUACAUGAUUGAGUUUCUGGAGGUGGGUGGAGUGCUUACCCUGCUUGAGAUUCUAGGACAAGACAAACUCAAGGAAGGGGAUAAAACCGAGGCACUUCGCCUGCUCCAGAUCAUCGCCAACACGGGCCAAAAAUAUAAAGAGCUUAUCUGUGAAAGCUACGGUGUGAAGGCCGUAGCUGAAUGUUUGGCCAAAUCUGAGACAGAGGAGACUCAGGAGACCGCCGCCGCCCUGCUAGAAUCUUUGGCACAUGGAAACCCCAAAUACCAGAUUCAGCUGUACAAGGGCCUAAUCGCCCUGCUGACCUGCACAUCACCAAGAGCACAGCAGCUAGUUUUACAGAUCCUACAUAUAGUUCAGCCCAUUGUGAAAACAGCCCAUCAUAGCAUAGUGGAGCCCUUAUUGAAUCUUCUGAGGUCCCUACAUUUAGAAGUGCAAUAUGAAGCAAUAGAACUGAUAACCGAGCUCAUGCAAUCAGAGGUUAGACUGGCUCUGCUCAGGGGACUGGUGGCUUUUCUCAAACCAACUAAAGAGAGAAAUCCUAAACACAAGAUCCUAGAGGAUCCAGAGGUGGCCAAAAUGACUGAUUCACUCCCUGUGCUUCUCCAGCAAGCAGCUUCUGCAAAAACCAUCAGGAUUCUGGCACAGAGAAGUGAAGAGAUAUCCAAAGAGCUACUCUCUCUCAAAGUGAUCCAUCACUUACUGUACGCAAUGGGGAACCAGGAACAUGCAGAUUCCCAGAGACAAGCCAGCCUGGCUUUGGAGCAUUUUGUGCGGAUGUAUCCAGUGGUGGAAGAGCAUGUAUGCAGAGCUAUGGGCACCAGACUGUUUGAGUCUUUUAUGCACAAUGCUGAUGUCCUUCAUUUGAACAUGGAUGACAUUCAAGCUGACAUUUUACGCUCAAAUAAAGUGAACAUUUCAUGUGGGUAGCAGGUCUUAGCGUCCAGAUCUUUGAUGAGGAAAAUUAUGAAGGUCGGGUGGGUGAGUCCACAGUGGACUGUCCUUCUGUGGAGAACCGAUUUGGAAUGAAGGAUGUCCUCUCCAGUAAGGUACUCAGCGGGUCUUGGAUGCUUUGCAAGGGUCCUAACAGAGACGAUGGUUUUAAACUGGCGAAGCCGGAGUAUCCCUGCCGAGCACGGGAACGAGGAGACUCAGGAGAUACAAUACACACAGUCUUUAAUGGAAGUCAUAACCAGGGAACAUGGAGACCGCA